UAGCUAAGGGAGUUACUGGAUGCAACUCGUUCUCUGCUGUGACUGAAUUCCCGCGCGUUGUCACUUUGGGGAAGUAAGAUUGUAACUGAAGAAUUGCAACGCAGCGCUUCUGUCUGGGAAAGGCAGCUGCGGCAGCAACAGCUGGAGUAGUGCAAGCGGGAAUCUGAGGCUCAGUAAAAGUUUGUAAGAGUUGAGAUCUAGCUAUCAGAAAGCGGCAGCGGCAUCCUUAGAGACCCUGGGGACAAAAUAAAUGGGUCUCCCACCAGUUGAAUGACAAGUAUCAUCAGAUCGGAAACGAGGCUCAGUUUCUGGAUGCUGAGUGGACUGUGCGUGCGGGAAUAUUUUAAGACGGCAUCGUAUGUCUUGCUUGGCAAUUAAAAUAGUUGAAAAAGUU
Molecule: long non-coding RNA, 394 nt
Filed under: Homo sapiens (human)
Lineage: Eukaryota; Metazoa; Chordata; Mammalia; Primates; Hominidae
Description: HSALNT0316080
Source: RNAcentral